UACGGAGGGUGCAAGCGUUGUUCGGAAUUACUGGGCGCAAAGCGCGUGUAGGCGGCGUCUUAAGUCCGAUGUGAAAGCCCGGGGCUUACCCCCGGAAGUGCAUCGGAUACUGGGAGGCUAGAGUACCGGAGAGGAGGGUGGAAUUCCUGGUGUAGCGGUGAAAUGCGUAGAUAUCAGGAGGAACACCGGUGGCGAAGGCGGCCCUCUGGACGGAUACUGACGCUGAGACACGAAAGCGUGGGGAGCAAACAGG
RNAcentral lists this ribosomal RNA (253 nucleotides) under uncultured bacterium. RNAcentral describes it as "partial 16S ribosomal RNA". It matches the Rfam family "Bacterial small subunit ribosomal RNA", at positions 524 to 776 of the family's 1533-position model. The record is from RNAcentral.